This is a long non-coding RNA of Cydia strobilella, 1178 nucleotides long. RefSeq lists it as uncharacterized. The record is from RefSeq and is a predicted model, not a curated record. NCBI's taxonomy places the organism in Eukaryota, Metazoa, Arthropoda, Insecta, Lepidoptera, Tortricidae. The transcript has 6 exons.
AGAACACUUGGUUCCUGUUUCUAUGUUUAUACACAGAUCAAUCGAUGCCUCUUUUUAGCGAUAACACCGUUUGGUGCCUCUACCAAAAUUGUUUAUGUUUUUAUACAUGUAUUGUAAACUGUGUGCAAUAAAGAGUAUCGUGUUGAACCACUUGUACCCUCGUAUAUAUUAAGUUAAUGUAAUACUAGGAAUCAUGAUAUUUUAAUAAAAAAGAAUAUGUCAGUUUAUUCUGAUACUUGUACUUGUGUCGCAUUCUUGUUCCCCAUGCGCUGACCGUGAGGCUCGCGAUGUGUGUGAUCGUGUAAGCGAUGUCCCGCUCGCAUCCCGGAGCGGCGUGCGGACCCGCGUCCAAUGUGAAGAUCGCCCACGUCGCCUGCACGCUCUGCUCUGCACUCGACACCAUGCUGACAGCUCUGAAACAGCUCGCAAUGCACGCAGUGAUGUGCCGUCCGCAUCCCGGAGCGGCGUGCGGGGCCGGUAUCUAGUGUGAAGAUCGCCUUCGUCGCUUGCGUGCUCUGUUCUGCCGUCGUCCCCGUGCUAUCAGGUUGCUGCAAAAAGCUGCACUCAUGCGAAUACCUAGCCGUUGCAAUGAUUAGGCUGUUGUUAUAAAAGGAAAUCUACAGGGAGGAGUCGAAAAUGCAGAGAUGACAGCUCGCACAGAAAUGCCUAAAGCUCUGAAGCUUGUAAGCUGCUUAGAAAGUCGCCCAAAGCAUAUUGGCAUAGAGUUAUGGAGCCCGUCUGCAAAAAGGACCGGUUCGCGACGAUGGCGCCCUCGCUCGCGUCCGCGGGCUCGUGUGGAAGCUGCUCGUGCCUCACUGCAGUGGCACCUCUAUGACGCUGUCAAGGUACACGUGUACGCCGUCGAGACAGCAGGACGCGCGCGAGACUCCACGCCGAAGGCAAGCCCCACUAACUUAUGACAUGUAUAUUGUGCGUUGAGAUCAUGUUGUUAUUUAAUAUUUAAGAGAAAAGCUCUGCGAUAUUUGUAUUAGACUGAUGGAUGCUCGGAUUGGAAUGUAUCGUUACGUAACUAUUAAAAAUCUUAUAAUAUUACAGUAUAAGAGUGAAGUAUGUAAACAACUUAUAUUUUUAUUACAUUACACUAUAUUUAAGCGUAUUUUGUAUUAACUUAUUCCGUUUAUUUUGAUGCGGACCCUGGGGAUUAUAAUAAAAUUAAC